CAAUAGCGUAUAUUAAAGUUGUUGCAGUUAAAAGCUCGUAGUUGGAUCUCGGGUCCAGGCCUGCGGUCCGCCUCGCGGCGGUUACUGCUCGUCCUGGCCUACCUGCCGGUGUGUCCCUUGGUGCUCUUGAUUGAGUGUCUCGGGCGGCCGGAACGUUUACUUGAAAAAUAGAGUGUUCAAAGCAGGCGUGUCGCCUGAAUAAUGGUGCAUGGAAUGAUGGAAUAGGACCUCGGUUCUAUUUUGUUGGUUUCUAGGACCGAAGUAAUGAUUAAUAGGGACAGUUGGGCAGGCUUAGUAUUUAAUUGUCAGAGGUGAAAUUCUUGGAUUUAUGAAAGACUAACUACUGCGAAAGCAUUUGCCAAGGAUGUUUUCAUUAAUCAAGAACGAAAGUU
This 392-nucleotide ribosomal RNA is filed under the name uncultured eukaryote. RNAcentral's name for it is "bacterial SSU rRNA". It matches the Rfam family "Eukaryotic small subunit ribosomal RNA", at positions 592 to 991 of the family's 1831-position model. The record is from RNAcentral.